This 21-nucleotide microRNA is filed under the name Mus musculus (house mouse). RNAcentral describes it as "microRNA miRNA101". The record is from RNAcentral. Lineage: Eukaryota; Metazoa; Chordata; Mammalia; Rodentia; Muridae.
GAAGUUGCCCAUGUUAUUUUU